CCUUCCAAGGCUACAAGAUGAUCUAAAUCUUUUCUGAGAUGGGUGAGAUAAUCACCCUUUACGAACAGAACACAACACGUCUCCAAACCAGCUCUGGGAAUUGGGUCAAAAUUCAUUAUCCAGUUGAUGAUCCACGAGAUGAAGAGGAACUGAACAUUGCUGAUAUUGAUUGGGAAAGCAGUGGAUUGGCUCCUGAUGAAAGUGUUGGUGUUAAUGUUCUACUGUAGAAUGUCCUCUUACACCAUUCUACAUGAACAUGUGCGUAGAUGAACUGCAUCAAAAUUGACCUACAAGUCCAAACAACACAGAGCAAACUGUGGUACUGUUAACAUUUAUAGACAUGGUGUCUGUAUUACUGUAUUGAUUU
This is a long non-coding RNA of Cyprinus carpio (common carp), 367 nucleotides long. RefSeq lists it as uncharacterized. Lineage: Eukaryota; Metazoa; Chordata; Actinopteri; Cypriniformes; Cyprinidae. The transcript is spliced from 2 exons. The record is from RefSeq and is a predicted model, not a curated record.